Nicotiana tabacum (common tobacco) is the source of this 2041-nucleotide non-coding RNA. NCBI's taxonomy places the organism in Eukaryota, Viridiplantae, Streptophyta, Magnoliopsida, Solanales, Solanaceae. The record is from RefSeq and is a predicted model, not a curated record.
AAAAAAAACUAGCCGUUACGAAAGCCAGAAGCGUCCAUAGCUCACCGGUUCAACCUACCUUCCCAAUCAGUUAAAUUAAAUGGUGCAAUUUGCAAAACUAUUUAAAACCAAGCCCACCACCAAAAAAAAUAUAAAAAAAUUAAAAAAAUAGCCGUUACCAAGCCAGAAGCGUCUAAAGCUCACUGGUUCAUCUUUUUUCUCCAUUCACUUUAAUGCUACAAGCAGAAAAAAUACCCUAGCAAAUCCACAAUACAACAAAAUCCCCAACUCCGAUCAACUUUUUCAGCAACAAUCACAUUCCUCUUUUGAUGGAUUCAAACGACAAAUCCAUUAGACUUACGCCUAAAAAAUGCUCCAAAAAUUCAGAAAAUAUGAACCCCAAUGUGGAACAACACAGUCCUUAUCUGCCAAAAUCUUCUAAAUCACCAUCAAUGGCGAAAUCAGCGAAAAAACCCCAAAAUUCAGUAUCCAGAAACCCUAACGCAAAUCAAUUGGUUUCGCCUUCUCCCAAAAACAAAAUUCGCCAAAGGAAGUUUGUGAUCGCAAAGAAGAACAAGUGUGAUAGUGAUAAUUUUAACCCUUCAGUGGCUUGUAGUAAGUGUAAUAAGGCGGGUGGUGGUGAGAAAAAGAAGUGCCUUUGUGUUGCUUAUGAGAGCCUCAGGGCUUCUCAAGAAGAGUUUUUCAAGAAUCGCGGUGGAAAUGAACACGAAGAAAGUGAAAUCAAGAAGUUGGAUAAUGUAAAUAGCCCUGAAAUUGGCAAUGGAGAAGGAAUGAGUAACCAGUCAUUGACUCAAAACAUUGAAUUGGGUGAAUUAGUUGAAUUGGAUGGUCGUUGUGUGGCUGAUGAAAUGGUGGAAAGGGCAAACGAGGAUGUGGGUUUGGGUGAAGUGAGUGGUGGAACUAUAAAGAGGAGGAUGUUGGAAGAAGCAAGACAAAGUGUAUCUGAAUCAGGAAAAGUGAUGCAUUUAGUUAAGGCUUUUGAGAAGCUUCUUUCGAUACCAAAAACUAAGGAGUGUGAAGGGGAAAAGGAAACCGAAGAUUCUGGAACGGGACAAAAAAGGGCAUUGCCUGGCUUACAACCUCCUAAGAUUCCUGCGACAGAGAUGUCUUCUUCUUCGUUUUGUCCAUCGGAUUUUUUCCUCACCUAUGAGAGUUUAGGCUUGGAUUCGCGUCGUGCCUCCUCAUUGGAUAGCAGCCACAGAAGCUUCAGUAUUUCAAGCAGGACUUCAGGUGGUGGUCGAAGGAGCAGACACAAUAGCGCUGAAUCAUCAGGCACAUAUACUAGAAGAAAUGGGAAGAGAAGGCAGCUCAAAGCGACCUCACAAAAGCCCUUCAAACUUAGAACUGAGGAAAGGGGAAAAUGUAAGGAGGAAGAAUUUUUAGAGAAGGUGCAACAAAUGGCGGAGGAAGAGGAGAAACAGCGGAUACCAAUUGCACAAGGCCUUCCAUGGACAACAGAUGAGCCAGAGUGUUUGCCAAAGCCUCCUGUAAAAGAGAGCACAAGGCCUGUUGAUCUGGUGCUGCACAGUGACAUUAGGGCAGUUGAACGUGCUGAGUUUGACCAUCAGGUGGCAGAUAAAUUGAGCUUUAUUGAACAAUACAAGAUGGAAAGAGAGAGACUACAGAAGAUGGCCGAGGAAGAAGAAAUUAGGAGGCUGAGAAAGGAACUUGUUCCAAAAGCUCAACCAAUGCCCUACUUUGACAGACCUUUCAUUCCUAGAAGAUAGAUUUUUCAUCACUUCUUGAAGCUCGCCUUGUCAAAAAUGGUAUUUCAGACUCUGUAGCAGGACUUUCUGGUCGGCCCAGUGCAAGUCCUGCUACAAACGAAUCAAAUCCAGUUCUAAGCGCUAGUGAUAAGAAAACUGAUGGCCCAACUAUAGAAAAUGGAGGAGUAAACCUCUGGGAACAACUCAGUGAGACUAUAAAGGCGAUAAAAGUAGCUGGGGUAAGGGGAGCUCUUGGAAGAGCUCGUGGUCACAUAAAACCUUGAGAGGCAGUGCUCUUGGUCCUAGAAUGGCCUUUCGAAGAUAUAAAAAGGAAA